AGUGAACGCUGGCGGUAGGCCUAACACAUGCAAGUCGAACGGCAGCACAGUAAGAGCUUGCUCUUACGGGUGGCGAGUGGCGGACGGGUGAGGAAUACAUCGGAAUCUACUUUUUCGUGGGGGAUAACGUAGGGAAACUUACGCUAAUACCGCAUACGACCUACGGGUGAAAGCAGGGGAUCUUCGGACCUUGCGCGAUUGAAUGAGCCGAUGUCGGAUUAGCUAGUUGGCGGGGUAAAGGCCCACCAAGGCGACGAUCCGUAGCUGGUCUGAGAGGAUGAUCAGCCAAACUGGAAAUGAGAAAAGGUCCAGACUCCUACGGGAGGCAGAAGUGGGGAAUAUUGGACAAAGGGCGCAAGCCUGAUCCAGCCAAACCGCGUGGGUGAAGAAGGCCUUCGGGUUGUAAAGCCCUUUUGUUGGGAAAGAAAAGCAGCAGGUUAAUACCCCGCUGUUCUGACGGUACCAAAAGAAUAAGCACCGGCUAACUUCGUG
Molecule: ribosomal RNA, 492 nt
Filed under: uncultured bacterium
Lineage: Bacteria
Description: partial 16S ribosomal RNA
Rfam family: Bacterial small subunit ribosomal RNA
Source: RNAcentral